RNAcentral lists this ribosomal RNA (458 nucleotides) under uncultured bacterium. Its description in RNAcentral is "bacterial SSU rRNA". It matches the Rfam family "Bacterial small subunit ribosomal RNA", at positions 29 to 524 of the family's 1533-position model. The record is from RNAcentral.
AACGAACGCUGGCGGCAGGCUUAACACAUGCAAGUCGAACGGGUGCAGCAAUGCAUCAGUGGCAGACGGGUGAGUAACACGUGGGAACCUUCCUAGGGGUACGGAACAACUCAGGGAAACUUGAGCUAAUACCGUAUACGUCCGUAAGGAGAAAGAUUCAUCGCCCCCUAGACGGGCCCGCGUCGGAUUAGGUAGUUGGUGGGGUAACGGCCUACCAAGCCUACGAUCCGUAGCUGAUCUGAGAGGAUGAUCAGCCACACUGGGACUGAGACACGGCCCAGACUCCUACGGGAGGCAGCAGUGGGGAAUCUUGGACAAUGGGCGCAAGCCUGAUCCAGCCAUGCCGCGUGAGUGAAGAAGGCCUUAGGGUUGUAAAGCUCUUUUACCAGGGACGAUAAUGACGGUACCUGGAGAAUAAGCCCCCGGCAAAACUUCGUGCCAGCAGCCGCCGCGGUAAC